Molecule: ribosomal RNA, 512 nt
Filed under: uncultured Glomus
Lineage: Eukaryota; Fungi; Glomeromycota; Glomeromycetes; Glomerales; Glomeraceae
Description: SSU rRNA
Rfam family: Eukaryotic small subunit ribosomal RNA
Source: RNAcentral
AGCAGCCGCGGUAAUUCCAGCUCCAAUAGCGUAUAUUAAAGUUGUUGCAGUUAAAAAGCUCGUAGUUGAAUUUCGGGGUUAGUAGGUUGGUCGUGCCACUGGUAUGCACUGAUCUUACUGAUUCCUCCUUCCUGAUGAACCGUAAUGCCAUUAAUUUGGUGUUGCGGGGAAACUGGACUGUUACUUUGAAAAAUUAGAGUGUUUAAAGCAAGCUAACGCUUGAAUACAUUAGCAUGGAAUAAUGAAAUAGGACGAUUGAUCCUAUUUUGUUGGUUUCUAGGAUUGACGUAAUGAUUAAUAGGGAUAGUUGGGGGCAUUAGUAUUCAAUUGUCAGAGGUGAAAUUCUUGGAUUUAUUGAAGACUAACUACUGCGAAAGCAUUUGCCAAGGAUGUUUUCAUUAAUCAAGAACGAAAGUUAGGGGAUCGAAGACGAUCAGAUACCGUCGUAGUCUUAACCAUAAACUAUGCCGACUAGGGAUCGGAUGAUGUUAAUUUUUAAUGUACUCAUUCGG